Molecule: long non-coding RNA, 3635 nt
Filed under: Capra hircus (goat)
Lineage: Eukaryota; Metazoa; Chordata; Mammalia; Artiodactyla; Bovidae
Description: lncRNA (ENSCHIG00000004523.1)
Source: RNAcentral
AUGGGACAGGACCACACAGGGAGCUAUCAGUGCUACUACAGAACCCCCGCUGGCUGGUCAGAGCCCAGUGACCCCCUGGAGCUGGUGGUGACAGGACCCUACAGCAAACCCAGCCUCUCAGCCCUGCCGAGCCCUGUGGUGACCUCGGGAGGGAACGUGACCCUCCAGUGUGCCUCCUAUCAUGGAUUUAACAGAUUCCUUCUGACCAAGGAAGGAGAAGACAAGGCCUCUUGGACCCUGGAUGGAGAGCGACGCCAUGACUGGCAGAUGCAGGCCCUGUUCCCCGUGGGCCCCGUGACCCCCGGAAAUGGGUGGACGUUCAGAUGCUACGGCUUUAACAGGGACACCCCCCGGGUGUGGUCAGCCCCCAGCAACCCCCUGGAGCUCCUGGUCCCAGGGCUGUCUGGGAAGCCCUCCCUCCUGACCCCGCAGGGCCCCGUCGUCACCUCUGGACAGAACCUGACCCUCCAGUGUCGCUCUGACGUCGGCUACGCCAGAUUCGCUCUGUCCAAGGAGGGGGGACAGAACCUCCCCCAGCGCCCUGCCCAGAGGCCCCAGGGAGGGCUCUCUCAGGCCGACUUCCCCCUGGGCCCUGUGGGCACCGUCCACGGGGGCCGGUACAGAUGCUACGGUGGACACGGCCUCUCCUCUGAGUGGUCGGCCCCCAGCGAGCCCCUGGAGCUGCUGGUGGCAGGUGAGGGGCCAGCGGGUCAGUCGGGGACCAGACUCUGCACAGGCCCCACCGGGGAGCCCCAGGGGUGAUGCUGGGACCAGGGGGAGGGGUCACAGGGAGGGACAGAGAGACGGGGUGGGGGAGGGGAGAGACUCGGAGAGACAGAGACAGCGCUGAGGGGCCAGAGAGGCCCGAGGAGUCUCGCUCAGAACCCGCCCGGCGCCCGCACCCCCUCCCCCUCUGCAGGACGGCUCAGAGACAGCCCCUCCCUCUCGGUGCGGCCCGGCCCCGCGGUGGCCCCGGGGGAGAGUGUGACCCUGCUGUGUCAGUCAGGAGACAGGACGGACACUUUCCUUCUGUCCAAGGAGGGGGCAGCCCAGCGCCCCCUGCGUCUGCACUCCCAGGACCAAGACGGGCGGUACCAGGCCGAGUUCUCCUUGAGCCCUGUGACCUCAGCCCACGGGGGCACCUACAGGUGCUACCGCUCACUCAGCACAGACCCCUACCUGCUGUCCCAGCCCAGUGAGCCCCUGGCCCUCGUGGUCUCAGGUGAGGCCCCAUCUGUCCUUCUGACUCAGCAGCUCGGGGCUGUGUACCCUGGGAGCGCAGGGAGGUCGUGGAGGAGGGGGCACUGAGGGAGGGGCCCCUGAGGGAGGGGCUUCGGAGCCCAUGCCUCACCCCUUCCUUUGUCACUGAGGUUGUGGAGGAGCAGGUGGGCAGUGGAAGGGUCUCAGGGAGGCCACAGGGCCGUGCAGCGCAGAAGGGAGUGAGGUGGGGACCCUGGGUCAGCCCGGCACACCCCUUCCUGGGCUCAUUCCCAGGACCCAUGGGCCCAGACUCCACCCUCGGGCCCCAAUCCAACCACUGGGGAGUCAUGGGGCUAUGUGCUCAGGGGUGACAGCCCGCCCCAGGGCGGUGUGGGAGCCGGAAGAUCUAAUACCCGCUGAGGUCAUCAAGGAUUCGCUGGGCGUGGAGCAGAGAUGGGGCUGUGGAGGGGGAAGUGGCCCCGCCCCCAUCCCUUUGCUGACCCCCAGGGGGCUCUAGGCAUCAGACCCAUCAGCUCCACCCCUCAGUGGAGUCAGGAACUGCAGAGAGGGGAGCAGGCUCUUGAGGAGGUGGUGGCGGGUCCGGGGGCAGGCUGAAUAUGCCCCAGUUCAAGCGCCUCCGGAGACUCUGAUGUGGACUCCCUCACCCUCACCACACCCGCGCACAGGCCUCAGUUUCUCCCAGUGUAAAAGGAGAGACCCGUGGCCCAGAUCUUGGGUUUCCUCAGUUCUGAGCUGGGUGUGACCCCCAUCAGGUGAGGAGCACAGGGAGCCCCUGAGGAGGUGACUGUGGGGCCUGUCCCCUCCACUUCAGCAUGGAGACAGCAUGUGGCAGGGGUGGGAGGGUGGGGACCUAGAGACCCCUCCACGCAGCCCGCCCCUCCCCCGCCCCAGCUGAGGUGGGGGAGGGGAGGGGACAAGGGAGGGCCCUCAGCUCCAGCUGAGACCCUCGGACAGCCCCUGCAGGUGAGGGGCCCCCAGAGCAGGAAGCUGGUGUGCUCCUGGGGGCCAGCUCAGAAGGAGCUCGGGGUGCCCAUGGCCCUGGUUCCAGUCCCGGCUCUGCCCGCUCCAGGCUGGGCGACUUGGGGGCCCGUGAUCUCCCCCUCUGGGCCUCAGGCUCCUCGUCUGUAAACGGGUGGGAUGGGCUGGAGAUGGACGCACAGACCCCAGCACCAGUGCUUACACAGCAGGUGCCCAGUUAAGCGGCACCCCUGGCUCACUCGGGCGUCUCUGGCGCCCCAGGCCUCACGUGGUACCUGAGUGUCCUCAUCGGGGUCUCGGUGACCUUCGUCCUGCUGCUCCUCAUCCUCCUCAUCCUCUUCCUCCGACACCGGGGUCAGGACAGAUGCAGGAAGUCAGGUGAGUAGGGAACGGGGUGACUCGGACCCCUGGCGGCCUUAGGGCAUCAGACAGAGGGAAACCGAGGACAUGGGAGCGGGCUGCUUAGAGAUUUUUUUUCCACAGUAUGGAGAUUCCUUAAAAACUAAAAGCAGAAUUAUCAUAUGAUCCGGCAAAUCCACUGCUGGGUAUAUGUGUCAAUAAAACGAAAACAGUAAUUUGAAAAGAUACAAACAUUCCAAUAUUCAUAUAGGCAACUUAUAUGUGCGCAAGUCAGCUGUCCAGCAGCAGAUGAAUGGAGAAAAUGUGGUGUGUGUGUACAUAUAUGUAUGUGUAUGUAUGCAUAUAUAUGUACACACACAUACACAUACAAUGGAAUAUUACUCAGCCAUAAGAAAGAAGACAAUUCUGCCAUUUGCAACAGCAUACAUGGACCUAGAGAGUAUUACACCCAUUGAAUUAAGUCAGAGAAAGGUAGAUGAUUUAUGAUGUCAUUUGUACAUAGUGAAUCUGGAAAAUAAUGCAAAGGCAUGUGUAUGAGAAACGGAAACGGACGCCUUGAUGUGGAAAAAUAACUAAUGGUUCCCGGGGAGACGGGCAGAUUAGGGGUAUGGACUAAGAGACACAGACUGCUACAUAUGAGAGAAACAGGAAGGAUAUACCGGGUCGCACAGGGAUGUAGCAAGCGUUUUGUAAUAACUUUAAAUGGAGUAUAACCUAUAAAAACAUUGAAUCAUAUGUUGUAUGCCUGAAACUAAUAUAUUAGAAAUCAACGAUAUUUCACUUAAAAAUUUUUCCAGAAUCUCAAAUCUGAAAAUCUAGUGGAAAAAAACACCCAGUGUCAGCUCACGUGCACUAGUUUAAGCCAUUCCCCUCCUUCUCAAUGUCACGCGCUCGAGCCCAGGUUGCCUUCUCUCCUCCUGAAUCCCACGCGUAGGGCGGAGGGCACCACAUCCCCGGGCCGAGCCUCUGUCCCGGGACCCCGCCCAGGCCUAGGCUGAUUUCCAACCUCCCACAGGGGCCGCAGACCCAGGGCCUGAGGACAGAGGCCCGCAGAGCAGGUAACUCCCACCCCGACA